Molecule: ribosomal RNA, 253 nt
Filed under: uncultured bacterium
Lineage: Bacteria
Description: partial 16S ribosomal RNA
Rfam family: Bacterial small subunit ribosomal RNA
Source: RNAcentral
UACGGGGGGGGUAAGCGUUGUUCGGAAUUACUGGGCGUAAAGGGCUCGUAGGCGGCCAACUAAGUCAUACGUGAAAUCCCCAGGCUCAACUUGGGAACUGCAUCCGAUACUGGAUGGCUUGAAUCCGGGAGAGGGAUGCAGAAUUCCAGGUGUAGCGGUGAAAUGCGUAGAUAUCUGGAGGAAUACCGGUGGCGAAGGCGGCAUCCUGGACCGGCAUUGACGCUGAUGAGCGAAAGCUAGGGGAGCAAACGGG